CAUGGACAUCUUCCCAGAAAGCGGCAAAGACGGUGAAGUUUGACGGUCUGGAAAGCGGAGACCAACCAGGCUGACUACCUGGGCGCACUGAGACUCCGGACAGCGCCUCUCGGGAUCCAGAAAGGGAACCGCUUCAGCACCAAGGCUGAGGACAGCUCCUAGCGGGUUCCCCGGGCCGAUUUCAUUUCAGCACCAGGAUGCCCGACAGCUCCCAGAGGAAGUGGAAGCCAAGAUGCAGACAGGAGUGGAGACUUGGAGUCACACAGAAAGUCAUCUCCAGCCAGGGCUGAAGAGGGACGGUGAGGGCAGAACUCAGACACAGCAUCGUCCAGGGAUUGCUGUUCCUUGCGGCUUCAGUGGCAGUCACCUCCCACCAGGGAGGGUGGGAGUCUCUCAGAGAGAGCCAGAGUGUUGAUUAUAUUCUGCACCUUAAUGGGUCCUUCAAAAGAGAGUGGCUUGGGUUUCCAUGACAACAGGCAGGCGGCAUCAUAAGGAGAUAGCCUCCCCCAACCCACAUCAGGCUCUGGAAUCUGUUCUCUUCCAUCCCUGCCUUUCUGGAUCCAAGAAGCCCAGCCUGUGCCCAGCCCAGACAAGAGAAGUCAGCGCUCUCAUUGGCUGGUUUUUUAAAAAAAGAUUUUAUUGGGGAAUCGGGAAAGGAAACAGCAUUGGGGAAUCAGGGA
Hipposideros armiger (great roundleaf bat) is the source of this 680-nucleotide long non-coding RNA. RefSeq lists it as uncharacterized. The transcript is spliced from 3 exons. The record is from RefSeq and is a predicted model, not a curated record. Lineage: Eukaryota; Metazoa; Chordata; Mammalia; Chiroptera; Hipposideridae.